RNAcentral lists this ribosomal RNA (459 nucleotides) under uncultured bacterium. RNAcentral's name for it is "partial 16S ribosomal RNA". It matches the Rfam family "Bacterial small subunit ribosomal RNA", at positions 338 to 795 of the family's 1533-position model. The record is from RNAcentral.
CCUACGGGUGGCAGCAGUGAGGAAUAUUGGUCAAUGGUCGGGAGACUGAACCAGCCAAGCCGCGUGAGGGAUGAAGGUACAGAGUAUCGUAACCCUCUUUUGUUAGGGAACAAAGGCGGGGACGUGUCUUCGGAUGAGUGUACCUGAAGAAAAAGCAUCGGCUAACUCCGUGCCAGCAGCCGCGGUAAUACGGAGGAUGCGUGCGUUAUCCGGAUUUAUUGGGUUUAAAGGGUGGGUAGGCGGUCUGUUAAGUCAGCGGUCAAAGCCCGGGGCUCAACCCCGUCGAGCCGUUGAAACUGGCGGUCUUGAGUGGGAGAGAAGUAUGCGGAAUGCGCGGUGUAGCGGUGAAAUGCAUAGAUAUCACGCAGAACUCCGAUUGCGAAGGCAGCAUGCCGGCUCCAAACUGACGCUGAGGCACGAAAGCGUGGGUAUCGAACAGGAUUAGAUACCCGAGUAGUC